RNAcentral lists this ribosomal RNA (253 nucleotides) under uncultured bacterium. RNAcentral describes it as "partial 16S ribosomal RNA". It matches the Rfam family "Bacterial small subunit ribosomal RNA", at positions 524 to 776 of the family's 1533-position model. The record is from RNAcentral.
UACGUAGGGGGCAAGCGUUAUCCGGAUUUACUGGGUGUAAAGGGAGCGUAGACGGUAUGGCAAGUCUGAUGUGAAAACCCGGGGCUCAACCCCGGGACUGCAUUGGAAACUGUCGGACUAGAGUGUCGGAGAGGCAAGUGGAAUUCCUAGUGUAGCGGUGUAAUGCGUAGAUAUUAGGAGGAACACCAGUGGCGAAGGCGGCUCGCUGGACGAUGACUGACGUUGAGGCUCGAAAGCGUGGGGAGCAAACAGG